RNAcentral lists this ribosomal RNA (253 nucleotides) under uncultured bacterium. RNAcentral describes it as "partial 16S ribosomal RNA". It matches the Rfam family "Bacterial small subunit ribosomal RNA", at positions 524 to 776 of the family's 1533-position model. The record is from RNAcentral.
UACGAAGGGGGCUAGCGUUGCUCGGAAUCACUGGGCGUAAAGCGCACGUAGGCGGCUCUUUAAGUCGGGGGUGAAAUCCUGGAGCUCAACUCCAGAACUGCCUUCGAUACUGAAGAGCUUGAGUCCGGGAGAGGUGAGUGGAACUGCGAGUGUAGAGGUGAAAUUCGUAGAUAUUCGCAAGAACACCAGUGGCGAAGGCGGCUCACUGGCCCGGUACUGACGCUGAGGUGCGAAAGCGUGGGGAGCAAACAGG